This 544-nucleotide long non-coding RNA is filed under the name Salmo salar (Atlantic salmon). RNAcentral describes it as "lncRNA (ENSSSAG00000115208.1)". Lineage: Eukaryota; Metazoa; Chordata; Actinopteri; Salmoniformes; Salmonidae. The record is from RNAcentral.
UGAGACAGACAGCGUGGUAUGCAGCAUCACAGGCUGGAAGUGUUUGGUUUGAUGAAAUCAGGAAGUUGACGUUUUUCCUUUGCGAUCCGUGCUUGUGAGUGUUCCUUGGGCUAUUUUGUCUUGAGUUAAACUUUCACUUGUGGAUGUAUCGAAGUGUAGCCUGUUCAAUGCUUUAGAAGCGCAAAAUCAGUACCAUUCGACAGUGCAUGAACACUGCGGACAAUGCGCCCAUCUCUGACCAGUGUCUUCCACCACACCAGUGACUCAGACUGGGACCAGUCCCACUGACCACCACCUCCCUGUACUGGUGCCAGUUCAGUCCUGCCCUGCUGUGGAGGAGGAGACAUGUCCUACUGGUCAGUAGGCCUCUCCAAGGCCACUGGAGACACACAGAGCAACAACAUGGAGGAACAAGACAAACAAGAUCUUGAACAAGAUGUAGUUACUGUCUUGUCUCAUCGCUGUACGGACUCGGGAGAGGUGAAGGUCAAGAGUCCUCGGAAACACAACCCAACCCAGCCACACUGCUUCUUAACACAACGCA